RNAcentral lists this ribosomal RNA (338 nucleotides) under uncultured bacterium. Its description in RNAcentral is "bacterial SSU rRNA". It matches the Rfam family "Bacterial small subunit ribosomal RNA", at positions 18 to 344 of the family's 1533-position model. The record is from RNAcentral.
CAUGGCUCAGGAUGAACGCUAGCUAUAGGCUUAACACAUGCAAGUCGAGGGGAAACGGCAUUAUGUGCUUGCACAUUCUGGACGUCGACCGGCGCACGGGUGAGUAUCGCGUAUCCAACCUUCCCUCCACUCGGGGAUACCCCGUUGAAAGACGGCCUAAUACCCGAUGUUGUCCACAGAUGGCAUCUGACGUGGACCAAAGAUUCAUCGGUGGAGGAUGGGGAUGCGUCUGAUUAGCUUGUUGGUGCGGGUAACGGCCCACCAAGGCAACGAUCAGUAGGGGUUCUGAGAGGAAGGUCCCCCACAUUGGAACUGAGACACGGUCCAAACUCCUACGG